RNAcentral lists this ribosomal RNA (303 nucleotides) under uncultured Fusobacterium sp. Its description in RNAcentral is "bacterial SSU rRNA". It matches the Rfam family "Bacterial small subunit ribosomal RNA", at positions 1212 to 1513 of the family's 1533-position model. The record is from RNAcentral. Lineage: Bacteria; Fusobacteriati; Fusobacteriota; Fusobacteriia; Fusobacteriales; Fusobacteriaceae.
GGCUACACACGUGCUACAAUGGGUAGUACAGAGAGUCGCAAAACCGCGAGGUGGAGCUAAUCUCAGAAAACUAUUCUUAGUUCGGAUUGUACUCUGCAACUCGAGUACAUGAAGUUGGAAUCGCUAGUAAUCGCGAAUCAGCAAUGUCGCGGUGAAUACGUUCUCGGGUCUUGUACACACCGCCCAUCACACCACGAGAGUUGGUUGCACCUGAAGUAGCAGGCCUAACCGUAAGGAGGGAUGCUCCGAGGGUGUGAUUAGCGAUUGGGGUGAAGUCGUAACAAGGUAUCCGUACGGGAACGU